Molecule: ribosomal RNA, 410 nt
Filed under: uncultured bacterium
Lineage: Bacteria
Description: bacterial SSU rRNA
Rfam family: Bacterial small subunit ribosomal RNA
Source: RNAcentral
CAGCAGCCGCGGUAAUACGGGGGGAGCAAGCGUUGUUCGGAUUUACUGGGCGUAAAGGGCGCGUAGGCGGCGCAACAAGUCACUUGUGAAAUCUCCGGGCUUAACUCGGAGCGGUCAAGUGAUACUGUUGUGCUAGAGUGCGGAAGGGGCAACUGGAAUUCUCGGUGUAGCGGUGAAAUGCGUAGAUAUCGAGAGGAACACCUGCGGCGAAGGCGGGUUGCUGGGCCGACACUGACGCUGAGGCGCGAAAGCCAGGGGAGCGAACGGGAUUAGAUACCCCGGUAGUCCUGGCCUUAAACGAUGAAUGCUUGGUGUCCGGAGUACUAUUGUCUCCGGGUGCCGUCGCUAACGCAUUAAGCAUUCCGCCUGGGGAGUACGGUCGCAAGACUGAAACUCAAAGGAAUUGACGG